GCGGAUGUGGCGAAAUUGGUAGACGCGCCAGACUUAGGAUCUGGUGUCUAAUACAUAUGAUGUGUGGGUUCAAGUCCCUCCAUCCGCACCA
This 91-nucleotide transfer RNA is filed under the name Rickettsiales endosymbiont of Peranema trichophorum. RNAcentral describes it as "tRNA-Leu". It matches the Rfam family "tRNA". Rfam says of the family: Transfer RNA (tRNA) molecules are approximately 80 nucleotides in length. Their secondary structure includes four short double-helical elements and three loops (D, anti-codon, and T loops). The record is from RNAcentral. Lineage: Bacteria; Pseudomonadati; Pseudomonadota; Alphaproteobacteria; Rickettsiales.